Cotesia glomerata is the source of this 280-nucleotide long non-coding RNA. RefSeq lists it as uncharacterized. The record is from RefSeq and is a predicted model, not a curated record. NCBI's taxonomy places the organism in Eukaryota, Metazoa, Arthropoda, Insecta, Hymenoptera, Braconidae. The transcript is spliced from 2 exons.
UAUCAGCUGUUAUUACCUGAGAGUAGAACUUGUAGUAUUGACAGAGUUUUAGUUAAUUAAUAUUUGUUAUUUAUUAGUUAAUGUUUAUCAAUUGAAACACGAAUAAAUGAAUUUGGAAUAUGAUGUGAAUAAGUUCAGGUUGUUAGCCUGCCUCGAUUCAUUUGACAUGUUUUUAACAAUUGAUGUUUGAUAAUUGAGCACCUGAAGAAGUCGGGAAACCGAUGAAACGUUGUGAAAAUUUAACAUAAACAUCGAAUAAAUAUUUCCAAUAAACUGUGAA